Molecule: small RNA, 507 nt
Filed under: uncultured Paraglomus
Lineage: Eukaryota; Fungi; Glomeromycota; Glomeromycetes; Paraglomerales; Paraglomeraceae
Description: SSU rRNA
Rfam family: Eukaryotic small subunit ribosomal RNA
Source: RNAcentral
AGCAGCCGCGGUAAUUCCAGCUCCAAUAGCGUAUAUUAAAGUUGUUGUGGUUAAAAAGCUCGUAGUUGAACCUUGGGCCUGGCUGGCCGGUCCGCCUCACCGCGUGUACUGGUCCGGCCGGGCCUUUCCCUCUGUGGAACCCCAUGCCCUUCACUGGGUGUGGCGGGGAAACAGGACUUUUACUGUGAAAAAAUUAGAGUGCUCCAGGCAGGCCUAUGCUCGAAUACAUUAGCAUGGAAUAAUAGAAUAGGACGUGUGGUUCUAUUUUGUUGGUUUCUAGGACCGCCGUAAUGAUUAAUAGGGACAGUCGGGGGCAUCAGUAUUCAAUUGUCAGAGGUGAAAUUCUUGGAUUUAUUGAAGACUAACUACUGCGAAAGCAUUUGCCAAGGAUGUUUUCAUUAAUCAGGAACGAAAGUUAGGGGAUCGAAGACGAUCAGAUACCGUCGUAGUCUUAACCAUAAACUAUGCCGACUAGGGAUCGGACGGUGUUAUUUUUGACCCGUUUCG